GACGAACGCUGGCGGCGUGCCUAAUACAUGCAAGUCGAACGCACAGUUCAUACCUUCGCUUGCUACACCAUAGACUGCGAGUUGCGAACGGGUGAGUAACGCGUAGGUAAUCUGCCUGGUAGCGGGGGAUAACUAUUGGAAACGAUAGCUAAUACCUCUUGAUAUUGAUUAUUGCAUGAUUAUUUAUGGAAAGUUGCUGUUGCAUCACUACCAGAUGGACCUGCGUUGUAUUAGCUAGUAGGGGAGGUAACGGCUAACCUAGGGGACGAUACGUAGCCGACCUGAGAGGGUGAUCGGCCACACUGGGACUGGGACACGGCCCAGACUCCUGCGAGAGGCAGCAGUCGGGAACCUUCGGCAAUGGACGAAAGUCUGACCGAGAGACGCCGCGUGAGUGACGAAGGUUUUCGGAUCGUAAAGCUCUGUUGUGAGUGAAGAACGGGUGUGAGUGUGGAAAGUUCACACUGUGACGGUAUCUUACCAGAAAGGGACGGCUAACUACGUG
RNAcentral lists this ribosomal RNA (505 nucleotides) under uncultured bacterium. RNAcentral describes it as "partial 16S ribosomal RNA". It matches the Rfam family "Bacterial small subunit ribosomal RNA", at positions 28 to 507 of the family's 1533-position model. The record is from RNAcentral.